This 454-nucleotide ribosomal RNA is filed under the name uncultured bacterium. RNAcentral's name for it is "partial 16S ribosomal RNA". It matches the Rfam family "Bacterial small subunit ribosomal RNA", at positions 28 to 507 of the family's 1533-position model. The record is from RNAcentral.
GAUGAACGCUGACAGAAUGCUUAACACAUGCAAGUCAACUUGAACUUCGGUUUGGGUGGCGGACGGGUGAGUAACGCGUAAAGAACUUGCCUCACAGAUAGGGACAACAUUUGGAAACGAAUGCUAAUACCUGAUAUUAUGAUUUUAGGGCAUCCUAGGAUUAUGAAAGCUAUAUGCGCUGUGAGAGAGCUUUGCGUCCCAUUAGCUAGUUGGAGAGGUAACGGCUCACCAAGGCGAUGAUGGGUAGCCGGCCUGAGAGGGUGAUCGGCCACAAGGGGACUGAGACACGGCCCUUACUCCUACGGGAGGCAGCAGUGGGGAAUAUUGGACAAUGGACCAAGAGUCUGAUCCAGCAAUUCUGUGUGCACGAUGAAGUUUUUCGGAAUGUAAAGUGCUUUCAGUUGGGAAGAAAAAAAUGACGGUUCCAACAGAAGAAGUGACGGCUAAAUACGUG